This 253-nucleotide ribosomal RNA is filed under the name uncultured bacterium. RNAcentral describes it as "partial 16S ribosomal RNA". It matches the Rfam family "Bacterial small subunit ribosomal RNA", at positions 524 to 776 of the family's 1533-position model. The record is from RNAcentral.
UACGUAGGGUGCGAGCGUUGUCCGGAAUUAUUGGGCGUAAAGAGCGUGUAGGCGGCUAGAUAGGUCCGUUGUGAAAACUCGAGGCUCAACCUCGAGACGUCGAUGGAAACCAUCUGGCUAGAGUCCGGAAGAGGAGAGUGGAAUUCCUGGUGUAGCGGUGAAAUGCGCAGAUAUCAGGAAGAACACCCGUGGCGAAGGCGGCUCUCUGGUACGUGACUGACGCUGAGACGCGAAAGCGUGGGGAGCAAACAGG